Molecule: ribosomal RNA, 235 nt
Filed under: uncultured bacterium
Lineage: Bacteria
Description: partial 16S ribosomal RNA
Rfam family: Bacterial small subunit ribosomal RNA
Source: RNAcentral
CGGCGGACGGGUGAGUAAUGUCUGGGAAACUGCCCGAUGGAGGGGGAUAACUACUGGAAACGGUAGCUAAUACCGCAUAACGUCGCAAGACCAAAGAGGGGGACCUUAGGGCCUCUUGCCAUCGGAUGUGCCCAGAUGGGAUUAGCUAGUAGGUAAGGUAACGGCUUACCUAGGCGACGAUCCCUAGCUGGUCUGAGAGGAUGAUCAGCCACACUGGGACUGAGACACGGCCCAG